CCGCUGACAUGAAAAUGGAAGCUGUCUGGGACGAACGGCGAAUGAAGAUAGAGAGGUGAGUUUCAAAAAUAAUCCAUGUUAAUUUUUGCUGGUGGAAAUUCCGCCAUUAAUGUGAUCGGUCUGCGCUAAUCAUACGACCUUGCUUUCGACUCGAACGUCAUGUAUACAUAUCUCCAUUUUUAGCCUUGACAUACCGAAAAUGUGCGCUGGAGAACUAUCUAAUGUUAUGUGACAAAUUCGGAUCUCGUACGAGUUUCUCGAUUGCGCCAAAUGGUUCUGCGGCACAUGGACAAUAGAGGAUGUUCCCACAGGUGUAUGCAGUCCCUCAGUUCUGCAGUAAUUUGACAUUGGAAAAUUCUGCACAUAGAAAGCGGUAACUAAUCAGUCUGCAUAUUCCAAUCUGCGAAUUUAAAAGAGAAAAAUCUUCUUUAAUGGCCUUCAUGUUCUUCAUUCAGAUUAUCGAAAAUAUUUGAUCCGGAAUUGUCGUUUGCAUAUCACUAACAAGUUUGUUAUUUAGUAAAUUAGGAUUCGAGAGGUGGAUAGGCAUAUACAUCUCCAAAAUUAACUCGAAACUUCCCGUUGACCCUUACGGUAGUUUGCAACCUACCGUUAUAGAAACUGCAAUAAAUUUCGGUCGUGCUUCUUCCUGGAUUACCUAAUUUACUAGUUAAUAUAUAAUUUUCGUAGGCCAAAAACACGAUUUUUUAUUAUUUUUUUUUAAGAAACUUUCCAUCUUUUCUACGUUUUCCUCGUAUAGAAUACUUAUCACGUUCAAUUAAGAGCGCGCCCGUGACGUAUUUCCUGUUUACUAAGUUCUAGCUUCCACGUGUGCGAGUAAAGAUACUGUAACGGCACUGACGUUUGCCGCUAAAAUAGACGAAGAUGGAGACAUUCGGUAGAGAUACGGGAGUAGAAGUUUAAAAAUGUGACGAACUUCGUUAAUUUUUUUUUUUUUUUCUUUUUACGAUCGAUAGUAAUCCCGCGGAAAGAAAAAUAUUUUUCUAUCUGGCAAACGAAAACGAGGUCAAGAAACGCUAGAGUGAAACAGGAGCAGUGUCGACGUCAUCCAGUACGAAAGCGAGGCCACUAUACCGGAAGUAGAAGCUGGUAUCGAUGGUAGAUGGGGCGUUGACACAGUAACGAUCGGCCAAAAGUUGUUCACCCUAAAGUUGUGUCGGGAAAGAAGCGGCCCGCCCGCUUAGUAUUGGCAUCUGUGUUACGGUGUCAGUGGUCCAAAACCCCCGUGCAACACGUGACCACCUUAUCGUGGCGGUUUGGCACGCGUCGUUUCGGUCUGAGCCGCCGCGCCGCCGGCAUGGCGGAGACGUUGGCAGUUGGGUUGAAUGGUGAUGUAGGUCUACCGGUCGCGGACCUUGAUGGCGACGACCUCCAUCCACCCAUGGCAGGUGGACUGUACGCCGAACGGUAACGUCACGAUAACAGACGUUAUUUCUUUAUAACGUUUUUCUUGCCUACAACGCACUCCAUCUUAAUAAGGUUGAUCCCUGUGACAUUUAAAACUGUUCGAUACGUGUUUUAAAACUGAAUUAUUCGGGUUUCUCAUUCGAUUUAACUCGUCGGACGAUGUUAACAGAAAUCACGAAUUGUCUGACCUAGGUCAUCAAGUACUCUCAACCAACUUUUUUAUCAGGCUUUCCUUGCGUUACCAGAGGUUAAUCACACCCGUCGUUUCUGACGUGGCCGUUUAUUAUCCUCGGGGUUGUUGACAAGUUUCAACAUCACGUGGUAUAACGGAUGUCACGGGAAACCGAACGAUGGCUGCUAAAAUCUUGUACAACUUCCAUUUCGAAAUACUGUGCAUAUUAUUAUUAUUAUAGUUAAAUUCGUCGAAUGACGUCAGACGUAUUGACACAAUACUCGAAGAUUGCGUAAAAACUCGUCUCGCGUAUUAGUCAAACAGCAACCGGUCACGAAUCGAAAAUGUCACUUCCUCAGAAAAGAGGAAGUGCAUCGUCAUCAUCGUCAAUAUAUAUAUAUAUAUAUAGACUGGUACUUCGAAUCCUUAAGAAUCGUUUUAUGCUUUGAUUUCGAAAACUGGAAAAAAAAAAAAAAAUAAAGGACCAGAAUUAUAAAAAUUAAAAAUUAUAAUCCUUAAGAAUGUUUUAUGAGGUUGAUUUCUAUCGAAAACGCGAACUGUCGUCACAGAAAUGCUGCUUUUAAUGUAUUCAGUUUUCUGUUCCAAUAUUAUUUUAUUCGAAAUCCCUUCAGAUACGUCGAAACACUUCCGUCGUUUAUUGUUAACGGAAAAACUGUCAAAAUAAAAAAAAAACCAGUAACCAAAUCAUCAUCCGAAAGAUACGAAAAUCGAAUUUUUUCUUAUUUAUAUUCUCUCUAUAAUUUCAACACGGAAA
This 2372-nucleotide long non-coding RNA is filed under the name Androctonus crassicauda. The record is from RNAcentral. Lineage: Eukaryota; Metazoa; Arthropoda; Arachnida; Scorpiones; Buthidae.